Molecule: ribosomal RNA, 253 nt
Filed under: uncultured bacterium
Lineage: Bacteria
Description: partial 16S ribosomal RNA
Rfam family: Bacterial small subunit ribosomal RNA
Source: RNAcentral
UACGAAGGGGGCGAGCGUUGUUCGGAUUUACUGGGCGUAAAGGGCGCGCAGGCGGCGGACCAAGUCAGGCGUGAAAGCCCCGGGCUUAACCUGGGAGGUGCGCCUGGGACUGGUACGCUAGAGUUCGGGAGAGGAGAGUGGAAUUCCCAGUGUAGAGGUGAAAUUCGUAGAUAUUGGGAAGAACACCGGUGGCGAAGGCGGCUCUCUGGACCGAGACUGACGCUGAGGCGCGAAAGCGUGGGGAGCAAACAGG